RNAcentral lists this ribosomal RNA (439 nucleotides) under uncultured bacterium. Its description in RNAcentral is "bacterial SSU rRNA". It matches the Rfam family "Bacterial small subunit ribosomal RNA", at positions 954 to 1392 of the family's 1533-position model. The record is from RNAcentral.
GCACAACGCGAAGAACCUUACCUGGUCUUGACAUAGUAAGAACUUUCCAGAGAUGGAUUGGUGCCUUCGGGAACUUACAUACAGGUGCUGCAUGGCUGUCGUCAGCUCGUGUCGUGAGAUGUUGGGUUAAGUCCCGUAACGAGCGCAACCCUUGUCCUUAGUUGCCAGCGCGUAAUGGCGGGAACUUUAAGGAUACUGCCAGUGACAAACUGGAGGAAGGCGGGGACGACGUCAAGUCAUCAUGGCCCUUACGACCAGGGCUACACACGUGCUACAAUGGUCGGUACAAAGGGUUGCUACCUAGCGAUAGGAUGCUAAUCUCAAAAAGCCGAUCGUAGUCCGGAUCGCAGUCUGCAACUCGACUGCGUGAAGUCGGAAUCGCUAGUAAUCGCGGAUCAGAAUGCCGCGGUGAAUACGUUCCCGGGUCUUGUACACACCG